UUUCUGUCAGUUCCAGCUUCUGCCUCCCUUCUGAUCUGAGUUGCUGAGUUAUUAAGGUCUGAGCACGUCCUGCCCCUGAUCCUACUUGGAUUACAGCCGUGUUGUUUUUUUUCCUCUGUGUUUUCACAAAGGCUCAGUCUGCGCUGGUGGGAAUUAGUCCUCCUGUCUCAGUUGUGCCUUAGCUCAGUCCCAAGGAAAUGUGUUGCAGCAGGUUUAAUCUGACACACCAGCUGUUACUGAGCGCGGGAGAGUUUGAGGAAGGCGAUUCUUACCAGCAGGAGGAGACACAGUUCGGCUCCACCGUGCUAGGUGGAGCGGUAAGUCCAGAGGCUCACUAAUGGCAUCAGAGGGCUGAGACAUGACAGAUGAAAUGGCUAAGGAAGAGGACAUCGUCCGACAGGAAGGACAAAUGCCAAGUCCAGAGGUUUCAUUCAACACAGGCUCCACCGCUUACGGCUUCAGUGACCCUGGUCAAGCCUCUUCCCCUCCUUGGGCCUCCCCAUCUGUUAAAGGAGAGAGUUCAUUCACUCCCUUGACAAACAUUUACCGGGCUCCUUCUGGGUCGUAGGCACCUCUGACCAGAUGGACUUUUGGGUGUUUCAUGCUGGAAUCAUUCUGUGAAGUGUGUCUCUGAAACCUCAAAUGUGGUGAAUUUGGGGACAGGAACACAAUAAACUGUACUGUUUUAA
Molecule: long non-coding RNA, 689 nt
Organism: Marmota flaviventris (yellow-bellied marmot)
Lineage: Eukaryota; Metazoa; Chordata; Mammalia; Rodentia; Sciuridae
Source: RefSeq, a predicted model, not a curated record